RNAcentral lists this small RNA (410 nucleotides) under Thiocystis violascens DSM 198. RNAcentral describes it as "cspA thermoregulator". It matches the Rfam family "cspA thermoregulator". The record is from Rfam by way of RNAcentral. Lineage: Bacteria; Pseudomonadati; Pseudomonadota; Gammaproteobacteria; Chromatiales; Chromatiaceae.
CAUAGGCGCAGUGCAGUGUUUUCUUGUAGUGUUCCGGUCGUUCCACCUCUCCGUCGUGCGUGGCAGAUCCUUCCGUAAUAUCGAGACAGUCGUCUGCACAUACACACGUUCAGUUUCAUUUUAAAGAUUUAGAGAUUACCGUAAUGGCUACAGGCACCGUUAAGUGGUUCAGUGACGAAAAAGGCUUUGGAUUCAUCGCUCCUUCCGAUGGUUCAAAGGACGUCUUCGUCCAUCACAGCGCCGUCCAGGGCAGUGGCUUCAAGUCGCUGGCCGAGGGGCAAAGCGUGUCCUACGACGUCGAGCAAGGUCAGAAAGGCCCGAGCGCGACCAACGUCGUCCCCCAGUAAUCCUGGGCGUCAGGUGCUCGUCACCUGACCAAAAAAGCCCCGCCACUUGGCGGGGCUUUUUCA